CCUUAGAAAAGAAGAUCGUCAUCAGUAGGGAUGUCAUCUUCGAUGAAAAUUUAGUUCUUCAAAAGCAAGAUGGCAUAGAAGAGCAGUAGGAGGUCCAGCAAUGCAGCACUGGACAACUAACAUCCUAUUCUAUUUUGCCACUUGUAGGUACAUCGAGAGGAUUUGAUAUUCAGGUGGAGCACUCUCCAAAGGUAUCUCCAUAGGUGGAGAGAGUUUGAAUGGAUGAAAGAAGCCAGGAGGUCCAGCA
This 247-nucleotide long non-coding RNA is filed under the name Elaeis guineensis (African oil palm). RNAcentral's name for it is "long non-coding RNA (EGUI_LNC056788)". The record is from RNAcentral. Lineage: Eukaryota; Viridiplantae; Streptophyta; Magnoliopsida; Arecales; Arecaceae.